Molecule: unclassified non-coding RNA, 253 nt
Filed under: Hevea brasiliensis (rubber tree)
Lineage: Eukaryota; Viridiplantae; Streptophyta; Magnoliopsida; Malpighiales; Euphorbiaceae
Source: RNAcentral
UUGAGGAAACAAAAUCCCAUCAUCAAUAAUUUGUUCUGAGAACCCUAAAUUCGGGUCAAAAUUGGAAAGAAUUACGUAAGUAGAAUUCGGCUGAGGUUUAGAAGAAGGAUGAAAUAGGGAUUUAUCUAGGUCCGAAUCCCCUGAAAAGAAAUCAUCAUCAAGAGUACCUACACGUGAUAGGUGAAGAAAAGGUCGACGUCGGCGAUGAUGGUCACGUCGGAGCUGAGGAUGCUGCAGCUGUUGACCGGAGAGG